This 253-nucleotide ribosomal RNA is filed under the name uncultured prokaryote. RNAcentral describes it as "partial 16S ribosomal RNA". It matches the Rfam family "Bacterial small subunit ribosomal RNA", at positions 525 to 777 of the family's 1533-position model. The record is from RNAcentral.
ACAGAGGGUGCAAACGUUGCUCGGAAUUACUGGGCGUAAAGGGCGUGUAGGCGGGAAGGCAAGUCGGGCGUGAAAGCCCCAGGCUCAACCUGGGAACUGCACUCGAAACUGCCUUUCUUGGGUGCCGGAGAGGAAAGCGGAAUUCCUGGUGUAGAGGUGAAAUUCGUAGAUAUCAGGAGGAACACCAGUGGCGAAGGCGGCUUUCUGGACGGUAACUGACGCUGAGACGCGAAAGCGUGGGGAGCAAACAGGA